This 437-nucleotide long non-coding RNA is filed under the name Homo sapiens (human). RNAcentral describes it as "HSALNT0320610". Lineage: Eukaryota; Metazoa; Chordata; Mammalia; Primates; Hominidae. The record is from RNAcentral.
GGGAUCUCCCAGAAGUAACCCUGAGAAGGGUCCCCCAUGGUAUUCCCCAGGCCAGGAGGAAGGUGAGGCAAGCAAGGCACUUGCCCAUCAUGCAAAAGGCUCUUCUGUUUCAUGACUCAGCACAACACUGCUACUAAUCCUGUCUUUAUUUAAAAUUUUAAUAUUUUGGCUGGGAGCUGUGGCUCACGCCUGUAAUCCCAGCACUUUGGGAGGCCGAGGCGGGCAGAUCACUCACAAGUUCGAGACCAGCCUGGCCAACAUGGUGAAACCCUGUCUCUGCUAAAAAUACAAAAUUAUCCAGGCAUAGUGGCGCACACCUGUAAUCCCAGCUACUCAGGAGGCUGAGGCAGGAGAAUCACUUGAACCAGGGGCUGGAGGUUGCAGUGAGCUGAGAUCGCACCAUUGAACUCCAGCCUGGGCAACAAGAGCAAAACUCU